This 308-nucleotide ribosomal RNA is filed under the name uncultured bacterium. RNAcentral describes it as "partial 16S ribosomal RNA". It matches the Rfam family "Bacterial small subunit ribosomal RNA", at positions 505 to 807 of the family's 1533-position model. The record is from RNAcentral.
GAGACAGCAGUAGCCGCGGGAAUACGUAGGUGGCAAGCGUUGUCCGGAAUUAUUGGGCGUAAAGGGCUCGCAGGCGGUUUCUUAAGUCUGAUGUGAAAGCCCCCGGCUCAACCGGGGAGGGUCAUUGGAAACUGGGAAACUUGAGUGCAGAAGAGGAGAGUGGAAUUCCACGUGUAGCGGUGAAAUGCGUAGAGAUGUGGAGGAACACCAGUGGCGAAGGCGACUCUCUGGUCUGUAACUGACGCUGAGGUGCGAAAGCGUGGGGAGCAAACAGGAUUAGAUACCCCUGUAGUCCCUGUCUCUUAUAC